GGCCUCCCAAUUCUUACCACAGGCUGUGUUCUUUACACUGACUUUAUAGAAAAGAAGAGGUAUGGUAAAUGCACCCCCAAUAAACACUUCAACACAGGUCCUUUGGCCUGGCCUGUAUUGUGAAUUGGGGGACAAAA
Molecule: small nucleolar RNA, 137 nt
Organism: Suncus etruscus (white-toothed pygmy shrew)
Lineage: Eukaryota; Metazoa; Chordata; Mammalia; Eulipotyphla; Soricidae
Product: small nucleolar RNA SNORA51
Exons: 1
Source: RefSeq, a predicted model, not a curated record